Molecule: ribosomal RNA, 1494 nt
Filed under: uncultured bacterium
Lineage: Bacteria
Description: partial 16S ribosomal RNA
Rfam family: Bacterial small subunit ribosomal RNA
Source: RNAcentral
AUUAGAGUUUGAUCAUGGCUCAGGACGAACGCUGGCGGCGCGCCUAACACAUGCAAGUCGAACGGAGUUAUUCGGACAGAAGUUCUUCGGAAUGGACGACUGAAUAACUUAGUGGCGGACGGGUGAGUAACGCGUGAGCAAUCUGCCUUUCAGAGGGGGAUAACGGUUGGAAACGACCGCUAAUACCGCAUAAUAUCGCACCGAGGCAUCCCGGAGCGAUCAAAGGAGCAAUCCGCUGAGAGAUGAGCUCGCGUCCAAUUAGCUAGUUGGUGAGGUAAAGGCCCACCAAGGCGACGAUUGGUAGCCGGACUGAGAGGUUGAACGGCCACAUUGGGACUGAGACACGGCCCAGACUCCUACGGGAGGCAGCAGUGGGGAAUAUUGGGCAAUGGGGGAAACCCUGACCCAGCGACGCCGCGUGAGGGAAGAAGGUUUUCGGAUUGUAAACCUCUGUCCUCUGUGACGAUAAUGACGGUAGCAGAGGAGGAAGCCACGGCUAACUACGUGCCAGCAGCCGCGGUAAUACGUAGGUGGCAAGCGUUGUCCGGAAUUACUGGGUGUAAAGGGAGCGUAGGCGGGUCGGCAAGUUGGAUGUGAAAUACCGCAGCUCAACUGCGGGGCUGCAUCCAAAACUGUCGAUCUUGAGUGAAGUAGAGGCAGGCGGAAUUCCUAGUGUAGCGGUGAAAUGCGUAAAUAUUAGGAGGAACACCAGUGGCGAAGGCGGCCUGCUGGGCUUUAACUGACGCUGAGGCUCGAAAGCGUGGGUAGCAAACAGGAUUAGAUACCCUGGUAGUCCACGCUGUAAACGAUGAUUACUAGGUGUGGGGGGACUGACCCCUUCCGUGCCGCAGUUAACACAAUAAGUAAUCCACCUGGGGAGUACGAUCGCAAGAUUGAAACUCAAAGGAAUUGACGGGGGCCCGCACAAGCGGAGGAACAUGUGGUUUAAUUCGAUGAUACGCGAGGAACCUUACCCGGGCUCAAACGACAUAGGAAUAUAUGUGAAAGCAUAUAGCUCUUCGGAGCCGAUGUCGAGGUGCUGCAUGGUUGUCGUCAGCUCGUGCCGUGAGGUGUCGGCUUAAGUGCCAUAACGAGCGCAACCCCCAUCGAUAGUUGCUAACAGGUAAAGCUGAGGACUCUGUCGAGACUGCCGGCGCAAGCUGUGAGGAAGGCGGGGAUGACGUCAAAUCAGCACGGCCCUUACGUCCGGGGCGACACACGUGUUACAAUGGCAGGCACAGCGGGAAGCCAUAUGGCGACAUAGAGCGGAACCCGAAAGCCUGUCUCAGUUCGGAUUGGAGUCUGCAACUCGACUCCAUGAAGCUGGAUUCGCUAGUAAUCGCGCAUCAGCCAUGGCGCGGUGAAUACGUUCCCGGGCCUUGUACACACCGCCCGUCAAGCCAUGGAAGCCGGGAGUGCCUGAAGUGCGUGACCGCAAGGAGCGUCCUAAGGUAAAACUGGUGACUGGGAAUGAGUCGUAACAAGGUAACCAAU